AUGGGGCUUUUUUUCUUGUUUCUAACUCUGCCAUCACAUGUAGCCUACCUGGUACAUUGUACAGUACAAAAACACCGCUAGCCAAACACAGCGGUCUACUUGCCAGGUGUGCAAUUGAAUGGAAGGGCAACUACACUUGCCAAAGAAUUGUUCCCAGACCUCCAAAGUGGUCUUGUGAUUUGAUUUUUAAGCUUAAAGCAUCAAAUUUGUGUCGUUUUUUUCUCAUUUAAAAGUGUGGUUUUUGAGAGUGAAUUUGGGAAACUCUGAAACCGAGAAAACAUUUAACUGGGAAAAUGAAAUUUGCCAAAAGAGAACUGAUUUUAUAGGGUCCUACAACUGUAGAGUGACCAAAACAAUAUAACACCCUUUUUCAGAAUGCACAAAGGUUUUAUUUUCUCCUCCCAAAACAAUCAAUGUAAAAAUGUAAUUAUUUGUAUAUGGAGGCUAGGUUAUCAUAGGCUACAUACUUAGCCCGCAAAUUACAGGAAACAUUUUAAAUAAUGCACACAUCAUCCGCUUUCCCAGGCCAGUAAUUCUUUUCAUUAUAGGCCAGUAGUUUUCAGUUGUGUGUCGCUGGCAAAUUUACCUGACUGUCAAACUCUGCAAGGACAUGCUAAUUUAAAAGAGGGCUAGUUUAUUUAUUAGUCUGGUUCUGGAUGGUUCUGGAUGGUUCUGGAUGGAGUACAGGUACACGGGUCAGAAAAAAAUGUGUGCAACCAAAUCAUGUGAAUAAAUCACCAACUGAAUAAAUUAGUUGUAGCAGUGCCACCAGUGGAAAAAGUUGGUUAGGAAAACUCAUGACCUAACCAUGUUUCUCUGGCUGUUUCAGGGUCGGUUAGAGUCGACAUUCCCAAGAUGCUGGAGUUGUUCCAGACUGGGCAUGAGUAUAUAGUGGAGAAGGAACUCUGUCAUCACUACGGUAGGAACGCGGUAAGUAUGAAGGAACACUGUCAUCACUACGGAAGGAACGGUAAGUAUGAAGGCACACUGUCAUCACUACGGUAGGAACGGUAAGUAUGAAGGAACACUGUCAUCACUACGGUAGGAACGGUAAGUCUGAAGGAACACUGUCAUCACUACGGUAGGAACGGUAAGUAUGAAGGCACACUGUCAUCACUACGGUAGGAACGGUAAGUAUGAAGGAACACUGUCAUCACUACGGUAGGAACGCGGUAAGUCUGAAGGAACACUGUCAUCACUACGGUAGGAACGGUAAGUAUGAAGGCACACUGUCAUCACUACGGUAGGAACGGUAAGUAUGAAGGCACACUGUCAUCACUACGGUAGGAACGGUAAGUAUGAAGGCACACUGUCAUCGCUACGGUAGGAACGGUAAGUAUGAAGGAACACUGUCAUCACUACGGUAGGAACGGUAAGUAUGAAGGCACACUGUCAUCACUACGGUAGGAACGGUAAGUAUGAAGGCACACUGUCAUCACUACGGUAGGAACGGUAAGUAUGAAGGCACACUGUCAUCACUACGGUAGGAACGGUAAGUAUGAAGGCACACUCAUCGCUACGGUAGGAACGGUAAGUAUGAAGGCACACUCAUCGCUACGGUAGGAACGGUAAGUAUGAAGGCAUUACGGAACGACCUACAGUAUAAUCACCACAACGUUAAAGCAUACUGGUAAUCCUCACAAAUGUCUGUCAGAUUAUCCAAGGUUAAGAGAAUUAAUCCAAGGUUAAGAGAAUUAAUCCAAGGUUAAGAGAAUUAAUCCAAGGUUAAGAGAAUGCCAAGAGUGUGCAAAGCUGCCAUCAAGGCAAAGGGUGGCUAUUUGAAGAAUCUCAAAUAUGAAAUAUUUUUUAUCCAAGUACCUCCCAGCGCAUCGUUGUUCGUAACAUGACAUGUACCUAUACUAAGAGUAACUACGGUGUAAUUUAUUAAUGAACUGAUAGUAACAAUAGAACAUAGUUGUAGGAGCCAUUUUGGCCUGUUUAUGAGUUGUGGAAAUGUUCUCUGUUAUUUCUUUAUUUGUUUUCUACACUAGAGGGCACUAUAUGUUGGGGUCAUGGG
This is a long non-coding RNA of Oncorhynchus tshawytscha (Chinook salmon), 2017 nucleotides long. Lineage: Eukaryota; Metazoa; Chordata; Actinopteri; Salmoniformes; Salmonidae. The record is from Ensembl.